This 447-nucleotide ribosomal RNA is filed under the name uncultured bacterium. RNAcentral's name for it is "bacterial SSU rRNA". It matches the Rfam family "Bacterial small subunit ribosomal RNA", at positions 331 to 795 of the family's 1533-position model. The record is from RNAcentral.
CCAGACUCCUACGGGAGGCAGCAGUGGGGAAUAUUGCACAAUGGGGGGAACCCUGAUGCAGCGACGCCGCGUGGGUGAAGGAGCACCUCGGUGCGUAAAGCCCUAUCGGCAGGGAAGAAACAGACGGUACCUGACUAAGAAGCCCCGGCUAACUACGUGCCAGCAGCCGCGGUAAUACGUAGGGGGCAAGCGUUAUCCGGAUUUACUGGGUGUAAAGGGCGCGUAGACGGCAUAGCAAGUCUGAAGUGAAAGCCCGAGGCUCAACCAUGGGACUGCUUUGGAAACUGUUAAGCUAGAGUGCUGGAGAGGUAAGCGGAAUUCCUAGUGUAGCGGUGAAAUGCGUAGAUAUUAGGAAGAACACCAGUGGCGAAGGCGGCUUACUGGACAGUAACUGACGUUGAGGCUCGAAAGCGUGGGGAGCAAACAGGAUUAGAUACCCCCGUAAUC